UCCUCUUCUGAAAGUUUGAUUCUGUUUGUGCA
This 32-nucleotide non-coding RNA is filed under the name Mus musculus (house mouse). Lineage: Eukaryota; Metazoa; Chordata; Mammalia; Rodentia; Muridae. The record is from RNAcentral.